UCCUGUUGGGCGGAGCCUAUGACAUAGAGUGCGAAAGUUGUUCGGCUCAAUGAGAUCUAUAAGUGUACUGAGUUUCAUAUAAAUACAUGAAAGUGUGUGUGAGCUAUGGUUCAAGAUUUCUGACUGUGUUCCAGGGGGCGCUGUAGAGCCCCUGUGCCACGCCCGGGUCCCAGUCUCUGUGGCGUCCUGAUGGCCGCAGAUUCCAAUGUGUGUGCCAAUUUUCAAGAGUUUUUGAGCAUGUUAAGGCCUCCAAAACCCCCCGGAAGGUUUAAUAAAAAAUAAAAAAAGUAAUAAUAAGAAGAAGAAUAAUCCUUAGAAGAACAAUAGGGCUCUUCGCCCCUUCGGGCUUGAGCCCUAAUAAUAAGAAGAAGAAGAAUCCUUAGGGGAACAAUAGGGCUCUUCGCCCCUUCGGGCUUGAGCCCUAAUAAACGGAGCAAUUCCAAGAGGGUCCUCGCACCAUCGGUGCUCGGGCGCUAAUUAAAGCUGCAAGCAGCAAUGAACGGGCCCUCGCACCCGGGCUCACCGGCAGUGAGUGGCUUUAGUAAAUUGGUGAACGGUGAGAAAUAUGCAUUCAAACUCAUAAAUAUAAGUGGAAAAUAUCAACAUUUAUUCCACAUAUGUGCCAAUCUUCCUGGUGCCAGCAGGUGGUGCUAUCAUUAUAAUGGAAUAUUGGCCUUCAAAUGUGUUCCGGGCAGGACUCUCAUCGAACAUGUGAAGUUUGGGGAAGAUCGAACAAAUUAUGCCUGAGUUACAACAACUUCUCUUGCUGUGGCGAGACAUCAAAAUUUGUCAUGGCGCCAUGGACACGCCCUUUAACAAAAACUCAAGAUCUCCACAAGUUAACAUUGCACAGGCCUUUAGAUUAGACUGAAUACAAAAAAUACUUUAAUCUAAAAAAAAAUCUAGGAGUAGUUUGUCGCAGCCUAAAACAUGUCACUUCCUGUUGCCAGCAGGUGGCGCUAUGACUAUAACUGAAAAUGGGCAUGUAGAUCUGUUAAGGGCAGAAGUCUUAUCUAACAUGUGAAGUUUGGGGCAGAUUGGACAUUGUAUGUCUGAGUUACAGCAACUUCCUUUUUCAUGGCGAAACAUCGAAAUUUGGCAGGCCGCCAUGGACACGCCCUUUAACGAAACCUCAAGAUCUUCGCAAUUUAACAUCACAAAGGCCUUUAGAUUACACUGACCAAGUUUGGUGUUGAUCUGAAUAAAUCUCUAGGAGGAGUUCGUUAAAGUACAACCCCUGAAAAUGGCAAAAACAACGCCAAUUUUGCAGAGAAAAUUCUAAAUAACCGACUUCCUGUUGGGAUUCGGAUUUCGUACCAAGAGACUUUUUUGUAGGUAUUGGUGUGUUACAUGUGUAUACCGAUUUUUGUACAUGUACGUGAAACAUAGCUCGAGGCGCACUCUGUUGAAAGUGUAUAGGUGGCGCUAUCGAGCCAUUUUGCCACACCUGAUGGAAUUUUGGCCUUCAGAUGUGUUCAGGCCAGGACUCUUAUCACACAUGUGCAGUUUGGGGAAGAUCGGACAUUUUAUGCCUGAGUUAUAACAUCUUUUAUUCCCAUGGCGAGACAUCGAACUUCGUGACGGCGCCAUGGACAUGCCUUUUAACGAAAACUCAAGAUCUUCACAACUUAACAUCGCACAGGCCUUUAGAUUAGACUGACCACAAAAAACACAUUGAUGUCAUAAAAUUUCUAGGAGUAGUUCAUCGCAGUGUAAAAUAUGUCACUUCCUGUUGCCAGUAGGUGGCGCUAUGACUAUAACUGAAUAUGGGCAUGUCAAUCUGUUCAGGUCAGGAGUCUCAUCAAACAUGUGAAGUUUGGGGCAGAUUGGUCAUUGUAUGUCUGAGUUAUAGCAACUUCCUGUUUCAUGGCGAAUCAUCGAAAUUCGCCAGGCCGCCACGGACACGCCCAUUAACGAAAACUCAAAAACUUCGCAAUUUAACAUCGCAAAGGCCUUCAGAUUAGGCAUACCAAAUUUGGUGUUGAUCUGAAUGAAUCUCUAGGAGGAGUUCGUUAAAAUACAACGCAUGGAAAUGGCAAAAAUGACACAAAAUUUGCUCAUAAUAUUAGAAAUAACCGACUUCCUGUUGGGUUUCGGAUUUUGCUCCAAGAGACUUUUUUGUAGGUAUUGGAGAGUUACAUGUGUAUACCGAUUUUCAUACAUGUACAUGAAACGUAGCUCGAGGCGCACACCGUUGAACAUGUAUAGGUGGCGCUGUUGAGCCAUUUUGCCACACCCACUUCUGAAACCCAUAUCAGACGUAAAUUUUCGCCAGUUCUGAGGUGUGUGCAAAGUUUCAUGACUUUUCGAGCAUGUUUAGGCCCUCAAAAAUGCGAUUCAUUUUGGAGAAGAAUAAUAAUAAUAAUAAUAAUAAUAAUAAUAAUAAUAAUAAUAAACGGAGCAAUUCCAAGAGGGUCCUCACACCAUCGGUGCUCGGGCCCUAAUAAUAAACGGAGCAAUUCCAAGAGGGUCCUCGCACCAUCGGUGCU
Molecule: long non-coding RNA, 2489 nt
Organism: Carassius gibelio (silver crucian carp)
Lineage: Eukaryota; Metazoa; Chordata; Actinopteri; Cypriniformes; Cyprinidae
Exons: 3
Source: RefSeq, a predicted model, not a curated record